Long non-coding RNA from Pan troglodytes (chimpanzee), 258 nucleotides. RefSeq lists it as uncharacterized. The record is from RefSeq and is a predicted model, not a curated record. The transcript is spliced from 3 exons. Lineage: Eukaryota; Metazoa; Chordata; Mammalia; Primates; Hominidae.
GUUCUCUGGCUUAUGACCCCCAGGUUGUUCCCAGCACCCUCAGGCCAUCGAGGGGUCAUCUAUUACUGCUGUCCAAGAGAUGGGGUUUCACCAUGUUGCUUAGGGUGGUCUUGAACUCCUGGACUCAAGUGAUCCACUCCCUUCAGCCUCCCCAAGUGCUGGGAUUACAGGCCGUUGAGUUCAGCUUAUGGUGAUGGAAAGAGAGAUGUCAAUAAUUCCACAUUUUCUGGCUUGCAUUGUUUGAUGAAAGGUGACCCC